CAAAACCCUUGAGUACCCACCGCGUUGCUUUGGCGGGCCGACCCGGUUUCGACCCGGACGCCCGGCGGCCCCAGCCUUAUCCGGCCAGGACGCCCGGCCAAGCGGCCGCCAGUCUAGGAGACUCAAGCAUCAUCCGUGAAGUCCUGACGCACCAUUCAAUUGACUAAAACUUUCAAAACGGAUCUCUCGGAUCCGGSAUCGAAAAGGAACGCCUGGAAAUGAUUUAAGAAAUGCGAAUUGCARAAUUCYYUGAAUCAUCAAAUCUUUGAACGCACAUUGCGCCCUCUGGUAUUCCGGGGGGCAUGCCUGUUCGAGCGUCAUUUCACCCCUCAAGCUACUGCUUGGUGUUGGGCGACGUCCGCUGCCGGACGCGCCUCGAAGACCUCGGCGACGGCGUCUCGGCCUCGAGCGUAGUAAAACAUCUCGCUCUGGAGCGCCGGACUAGGGCGGCCGCCGGACAAUCGACCCUUCACGCGCUGCAAACUUCCAAGGUUGACCUCGGAUCAGGUAGGGAUACCCGCUGAACU
Molecule: ribosomal RNA, 527 nt
Filed under: Phyllosticta sp.
Lineage: Eukaryota; Fungi; Ascomycota; Dothideomycetes; Botryosphaeriales; Phyllostictaceae
Description: eukaryotic LSU rRNA
Source: RNAcentral